This 442-nucleotide ribosomal RNA is filed under the name uncultured bacterium. RNAcentral describes it as "partial 16S ribosomal RNA". It matches the Rfam family "Bacterial small subunit ribosomal RNA", at positions 338 to 795 of the family's 1533-position model. The record is from RNAcentral.
CCUACGGGAGGCAGCAGUGGGGAAUAUUGGGCAAUGGGCGCAAGCCUGACCCAGCAACGCCGCGUGAAGGAAGAAGGCUUUCGGGUUGUAAACUUCUUUUAAGAGGGAAGAGCAGAAGACGGUACCACUUGAAUAAGCCACGGCUAACUACGUGCCAGCAGCCGCGGUAAUACGUAGGUGGCACGCGUUGUCCGGAUUUACUGGGUGUAAAGGGCGUGCAGCCGGGAAGACAAGUCAGAUGUGAAAUCCUGCGGCUCAACCGCAGAACUGCAUUUGAAACUGUUUUUCUUGAGUACCGGAGAGGUCAUCGGAAUUCCUGGUGUAGCGGUGAAAUGCGUAGAUAUAAGGAAGAACACCAGUGGCGAAGGCGGAUGACUGGACGGCAACUGACGGUGAGGCGCGAAAGCGUGGGGAGCAAACAGGAUUAGAUACCCCUGUAGUC